CCCCAAUGGGUUCUCUGGAUUUCCGGAGACUUGUAGGGGUUGUGGGAUUUUUGAUGUGUCGUCUCCGGACGGGCGGUGCAGGGUAGUCGAGUUGGACUUGGUGGAAUUCGAUUCCGUCGAGUCUGGCAUGGCUGUGUGCGGCUGUGUGUUGGACGGUGCAGGGUAGGCGGCUCGGUCUUGGUCGAUCUGAUGAUCGAUUCGAGGGCCGGCCACCAGAGGAUGUGGGAUGGAGGGGGUCUAGGGUAGGCUGGUUUGUCUUGGUCGAACUCGAUGUCGGCUCCCGUGCAGACCAGAGCGAACGUGGUCCAGGGUAGGUACAGGGUAGGUAGCUCGGCCUUGGUCGAUCUGGAUGUCGGUUCUCUGGCUGAUGGGUCUGGGACCGUCGAAACGAGAUGCGGGCGCUGCAGGGUAGGUAACUUCUGUCUUCGUCAGGAAGCGAUUCGUGUUGAGAUGUAUGGUCUAGGUUAGGUACAGGGUAGGCAAGUUCUUUCUCUACCAGAAAUCGAUUGGCAAUGGGAUAUAGAGUCUAGGGUAGGUACAGGGUAGGUAGAUACCCGUCCGGCCAGUACUGGCCCAUGCGUGCGAAAUGGUUUUGCAGUCUGGUGGCCGUGAGUCGAUUUUUUUGUUUUGCCAUACUAUUGAAUUUUGCGGAAAUUCAAAAGUGGCCCGCGAGUCCGGUCUGGCGUGCGUCCAACUUGAACACCGUCGGUGGGCAUAUGAGAGGGAGCAAUCCGGCCGGGCCGGGGCCCAUCGCGUGCCCCAGGGUAGGUAAAAGUAAAAAAGUUGUUAAGAGGCGCGGUGUCGGUGUGCUUGUAUUCGGGGAAGAGAAUUAUCUGGAGGUGGAGGGGAGCCGGGAAGACUUGGACGGAUUCGGUCCGGGAACUGGUCUGGGCCUGGUUUUGGCGUGGUGCAGGGUAGACAAGUCUGAUCGAACGGUCCAGGGUAGGUACAGGGUAGGCGCAGGAUAGGUAGAAGCCUGGUAUAUAGUAUGGGCGGGUGUAGGGUAGGCUGAGAUACCGUUUUGUUUUGCGCCCUUACCUUUGCUUGAGAAACGACGAUCUUGGCCGGAAUGAAGGUCUAGGGUAGGCUGAAUUUAUGAUUAUAUAAGCUGGAUAGCUCUAGGGUAGUUGAAAAUCCCAUACAAAUCUGGUUGCAAUUGGUGAAGUUGUGAUUUUGCUGUGAAGAUGGAGAAAAGUGUGAUGCAGAAUUGUAGGUGACUUUGUAAAAGUGGAUGUGAAAUUGGAAAGUCGGGUUUCCCGAGCAGAUUUGGGCACGUUUGGGACGUCACCAGAUGCGCCUUUUCGAGGCGGUCACAACGGUGCAGCCCAUGUGUGUGCCGGACUCCUGCGUGUCCGUCUAGGGCGGGAUAAGUAGAAAUUGAGGUGGUAUAGGGUAGGUCGUCACACCCACGGUCGAAUCACCUCGCCCGUCGAUUCGCCUUGAGGUGAGGGACAGGUCUAGGGUAGGCGAAAGUCGGGUCUAGGGUAGGAAACUUCCAGCCUCGAAGCUGCCUACCCGGUAGCCAACUUCAAUCGCCUCUCACGGCCGCCACGGACCUCGCAGGAAGACGGGACCACCUCCAUCGGAUUCGCCUUGGUCGAAAUAGUCGGUAUAUGCACUUUUGAAAAAAUGCGUGCAAAAUGGUUUUGUGGUUUGGUGGCCGUGAGUCGAUUUUUUUGUUUUCCCAUACAAAUGAAUUUUGCGGAAAAUAAAAAGUGGCCCACGAGACG
RNAcentral lists this unclassified non-coding RNA (1730 nucleotides) under Fusarium proliferatum. RNAcentral describes it as "partial 28S-18S ribosomal RNA intergenic spacer". Lineage: Eukaryota; Fungi; Ascomycota; Sordariomycetes; Hypocreales; Nectriaceae. The record is from RNAcentral.